Molecule: ribosomal RNA, 504 nt
Filed under: uncultured bacterium
Lineage: Bacteria
Description: partial 16S ribosomal RNA
Rfam family: Bacterial small subunit ribosomal RNA
Source: RNAcentral
GAUGAACGCUAGCUACAGGCUUAACACAUGCAAGUCGAGGGGCAGCAUGACGGAAGCUUGCUUCCGUUGAUGGCGACCGGCGCACGGGUGAGUAACGCGUAUCCAACCUGCCCUUGUCCAUCGGAUAACCCGUCGAAAGGCAGACUAGCACGAUAUGCAGUUCACCGCAGGCAUCUAACGUGAACGAAAUGUGAAGGAGAAGGAUGGGGAUGCGUCGGAUUAGCUUGUUGGCGGGGUAACGGCCCACCAAGGCGACGAUCAGUAGGGGUUCUGAGAGGAAGGUCCCCCACAUUGGAACUGAGACACGGUCCAAACUCCUAGGGGAGGCAGCAGUGAGGAAUAUUGGUCAAUGGGCGAGAGCCUGAACCAGCCAAGUAGCGUGCAGGAUGACGGCCCUAUGGGUUGUAAACUGCUUUUAUAUGGGGAUAAAGUGAGCCACGUGUGGCUUAUUGCAGGUACCGUAUGAAUAAGGACCGGCUAAUUCCGUGCCAGCCGCCGCAGUAA